AUUACUACAUAAAGCCCAGUGCUCUGGGUGGAGGCAGAGAUGGAGGUGGAUUGUGGAUCUGCACACUGCUGGAUGCAGACAUGAUCCUAGUGCUUAACCAACCACCAGGAGACUAAAGCCGGGUAUAAACCCUUUUACCCCAAGAAUGUUCCAAUGUCAUUUCUCUGUCUCACUAAAUCCAUAGUGAGACAGCGCAGGGCUGAAACCCUCAGGUGAGACAGGGAUUAUUGUAGAGUGAUUAUAAGCAGAGGAAUUCAACAAACUAAUAGUGGAAUCCUGCUGCACCCUCAGGCGGUAAGUUUUAGCAGGAUACCUGACCACUGUGAGUCUCGGCUCUUCAUCUCUGCCACCUGCCCAUCACAGAUUGAUGCAAAGCCAAAACUAGGUGACAGUCUAUAUAAAUAGCUUACCAUAGGGCUAGCACCACAGCCAGCCCUCAGCACAUAUUUGCUGUUGCUGUUAACAGUAUUAGCAUUAUUAGAAAAAGAAGAAAUAUCUGCCACCUGCCAUUUCCUCCCAGGGUCUUGGCUUUUCCUCUCUGGGCUCAGCUGCCUCUUGCCCAUUAUAGUCCUGCAGCUGCUUGGAGUUAGCAUUGGCGCCUGUGGGGUUUCUCUGCUAUAAACCAGUCAUUGCACAAUUGGUUUAAAAAGUCACCAUGGAAUUCUUAGUUUGUAGUUUCUUUCUCCAUCCCAUUUGAGGAAUAUGUAUGCUUGUGCCAUUCAAAUAAAGCACCUGGAAAGCCCAAAUGAACCUAAAUUUUUGUACCUUUUUUUUUUUUUCAUCAUAAAACCAAGCACCGGCAUCUUCAGGCUCACCAAUGCUGGCAUGCUCGAGGUUUCUGCUUGUAAAAAGAAGGGCUUUCAUCCGCACACCAGGGACCCCAGGCUGUUCAGCAUAUGCAAGCAUGUGUUGGUAAAAGACAUAAAAAUAAUCAUACUGGAUCUGAGGUGAUAUGUUCCGAAGAUGAGCACCUUCCACACCAGGCUCCUACCCAUGGACAUGUGGUUGCCAGGUUUUCUUAAGAUGUUUCCAGAAGUGACUGGUAUUUUAUAUUUAUACAUUUUAGAUCAGGAAGUUUGAUAUUUAUUGCUCUUGCACAUUUGGAAGUUUUAUUUUUGGGUUGCUCUGUCUCAAGAGAUGUCACCAUGGUGUUAAAUCAAUACUGUGAAUGUUACCCAAAUACUAUGACCAGAUAAUAAAUUGUGCUGCAAAUAACAUGUCCAGUGUUUGUAAGAGGCCCGCAUACAUUUUCAGAGCUUUAGGUGUUUCACUGUAUUUCUUUUCUCUCAUUCUUGUAAACUAUAAUUCCAAGUAAGAAAUUCUGAGUUCCAGGUGGUCUCCAAGACAGGCCAUCUGUUUCUGCAAACUUCCCUGGGGUAGACGCAUCCUUAGAGGAGUGGGCAUUCUUGGCAUUUUCAUUUCCUCACAAGGCAAAGCAAGAGCUCAGGUUUGCGGUAAAGUGUGAAGAGGUCUGAACCGGGAAGUGGCUUCUUUAUUGCCAAAUACACAUCCAGUUAACCAGACUUCCCGGGGGGACUUGUCACAGAGUGAAGGAUCCCUGGAGGCAGCAAGCCAGUGAUGUGCCCUUGCCCGGCAGAAUGAGGUCCGGAAGCUGUGUGUCUCCAAGAACUAUGAGCAGCGUGGCUGCGCCAGUGAGGGAUGAACAGGCUGGAGGAAGAGCCCAGGGCGGCUCACGCGAGCAUAUGUGCCGCGUGGGCGAGGCUGUGCCACCAGCGUGCCUUGGAUGAGCUGCUUUCCAAUGAGCUCGCUGCCAAGCAGCCGGCAGCCAGGCGCCCUCUUUUGAAUAUGAAUCAGUUCCAGAGCCCCAUGUGCCACUUCCCUGUGUCCUAAGUGCUCGUCUGUUUGUCCUCGGUGCCCGGCAGCCAGUGUGUACUUGCUAUGGUCUGAAUAGUGCCCCCCAGUCACACGCUGAAGUCCCGACCCCCCAGCACCUCAGAAUGUGACUGUGUGUGGAGACAGAGCCUUUAAAGAGGGAACAACAUCAACAUGCGGUCAUGUGUGUGGGCUGUAACCCCACACGGCUGGUGUCCUCGGAGGGAAAGAUUACAGCACAGACACAUGGGAGGAGGACCGCACGAAGACGCAGGGAGAAGAUGGCCAUUUCCAAGCUCUCUAAGAAACCAAACCUGCCAACACCUUGAUGUCUGACUUCUGGCCUCCAGAACUGGUAGAAAAUAAAUGUCUGUUGUUUAAGCCACUCAGUCUGUGGUGUUUUGUUAUGACAGCCCAAGCAG
Molecule: non-coding RNA, 2255 nt
Organism: Manis javanica (Malayan pangolin)
Lineage: Eukaryota; Metazoa; Chordata; Mammalia; Pholidota; Manidae
Source: RefSeq, a predicted model, not a curated record